Molecule: ribosomal RNA, 514 nt
Filed under: uncultured bacterium
Lineage: Bacteria
Description: bacterial SSU rRNA
Rfam family: Bacterial small subunit ribosomal RNA
Source: RNAcentral
UCAUGGCUCAGGAUGAACGCUAGCUACAGGCUUAACACAUGCAAGUCGAGGGGCAGCAUUGGGAUAGCUUGCUAUUCCAGAUGGCGACCGGCGCACGGGUGAGUAACGCGUAUCCAACCUUCCCUAUAGUAGAGAAUAGCCCGGCGAAAGUCGGAUUAAUGCUCUAUGUUGUGUUUUUGAGGACAUCUGACGAACACCAAAGGUUCACCGCUAUAGGAUGGGGAUGCGUCUGAUUAGCUUGUUGGCGGGGUAACGGCCCACCAAGGCGACGAUCAGUAGGGGUUCUGAGAGGAAGGUCCCCCACAUUGGUACUGAGACACGGACCAAACUCCUACGGGAGGCAGCAGUGAGGAAUAUUGGUCAAUGGGCGAGAGCCUGAACCAGCCAAGUAGCGUGCCAGGACGACUGCCCUAUGGGUUGUAAACUGCUUUUAUCAGGGAAUAAAGUGCGGCACGUGUGCCGUUUUGUAUGUACCUGAUGAAUAAGGACCGGCUAAUUCCGUGCCAGCCGCCGC